GAUGAACGCUGGCGGCGUGCCUAAUACAUGCAAGUCGAGCGAACGGACGAGAAGCUUGCUUCUCUGAUGUUAGCGGCGGACGGGUGAGUAACACGUGGAUAACCUACCUAUAAGACUGGGAUAACUUCGGGAAACCGGAGCUAAUACCGGAUAAUAUUUUGAACCGCAUGGUUCAAAAGUAAAAGACGGUCUUGCUGUCACUUAUAGAUGGAUCCGCGCUGCAUUAGCUAGUUGGUAAGGUAACGGCUUACCAAGGCAACGAUGCAUAGCCGACCUGAGAGGGUGAUCGGCCACACUGGAACUGAGACACGGGCCAGACUCCUACGGGAGGCAGCAGUAGGGAAUCUUCCGCAAUGGGCGAAAGCCUGACGGAGCAACGCCGCGUGAGUGAUGAAGGUCUUCGGAUCGUAAAACUCUGUUAUUAGGGAAGAACAUAUGUGUAAGUAACUGUGCACAUCUGGACGGUACCUAAUCAGAAAGCCACGGCUAACUACUU
This 496-nucleotide ribosomal RNA is filed under the name uncultured bacterium. RNAcentral describes it as "partial 16S ribosomal RNA". It matches the Rfam family "Bacterial small subunit ribosomal RNA", at positions 28 to 506 of the family's 1533-position model. The record is from RNAcentral.